RNAcentral lists this ribosomal RNA (420 nucleotides) under uncultured bacterium. RNAcentral's name for it is "bacterial SSU rRNA". It matches the Rfam family "Bacterial small subunit ribosomal RNA", at positions 102 to 518 of the family's 1533-position model. The record is from RNAcentral.
ACGGGUGAGUAACGCGUAUGCAACCUACCUAUCAGAGGGGAAUAACCCGGCGAAAGUCGGACUAAUACCGCAUAAAACAGGGGCACCGCAUGGUGAUAUUUGUUAAAGAAAUUCGCUGAUAGAUGGGCAUGCGUUCCAUUAGGUAGUUGGUGAGGUAACGGCUCACCAAGCCGACGAUGGAUAGGGGAACUGAGAGGUUGGUCCCCCACACUGGUACUGAGACACGGACCAGACUCCUACGGGAGGCAGCAGUGAGGAAUAUUGGUCAAUGGGCGGGAGCCUGAACCAGCCAAGUCGCGUGAAAAGGAAGAAGGAUCUAUGGUUCGUAAACUUCUUUUGCAGGGGAAUAAAGUGCAGGACGUGUCCUGUUUUGUAUGUACCCUGAGAAUAAGGAUCGGCUAACUCCGUGCCAGCAGCAGC